AGAGUUUGAUCCUGGCUCAGGACGAACGCUGGCGGCGUGCUUAACACAUGCAAGUCGAACGGAAAGGCCCUUUCGGGGGUACUCGAGUGGCGAACGGGUGAGUAACACGUGGGUGAUCUGCCCUGCACUUCGGGAUAAGCCUGGGAAACUGGGUCUAAUACCGGAUAUACCUCAUGGAUCGCAUGGUUUGUGGGGGAAAGCUUUUGCGGUGUGGGAUGGGCCCGCGGCCUAUCAGCUUGUUGGUGAGGUUAUGGCUUACCAAGGCGACGACGGGUAGCCGGCCUGAGAGGGUGACCGGCCACACUGGGACUGAGAUACGGCCCAGACUCCUACGGGAGGCAGCAGUGGGGAAUAUUGCAUAAUGGGCGCAAGCCUGAUGCAGCGACGCCGCGUGAGGGAUGACGGCCUUCGGGUUGUAAACCUCUUUCAGCAGGGACGAAGCGAAAGUGACGGUACCUGUAGAAGAAGGACCGGCCAACUACGUGCCAGCAGCCGCGGUAAUACGUAGGGUCCGAGCGUUGUCCGGAAUUACUGGGCGUAAAGAGCUCGUAGGUGGUUUGUCGCGUUGUUCGUGAAAACUCACAGCUCAACUGUGGGCGUGCGGGCGAUACGGGCAGACUUGAGUACUGCAGGGGAGACUGGAAUUCCUGGUGUAGCGGUGGAAUGCGCAGAUAUCAGGAGGAACACCGGUGGCGAAGGCGGGUCUCUGGGCAGUAACUGACGCUGAGGAGCGAAAGCGUGGGGAGCGAACAGGAUUAGAUACCCUGGUAGUCCACGCCGUAAACGGUGGGUACUAGGUGUGGGUUUCCUUCCUUGGGAUCCGUGCCGUAGCUAACGCAUUAAGUACCCCGCCUGGGGAGUACGGCCGCAAGGCUAAAACUCAAAGGAAUUGACGGG
RNAcentral lists this ribosomal RNA (897 nucleotides) under uncultured bacterium. Its description in RNAcentral is "bacterial SSU rRNA". It matches the Rfam family "Bacterial small subunit ribosomal RNA", at positions 8 to 917 of the family's 1533-position model. The record is from RNAcentral.